RNAcentral lists this transfer RNA (65 nucleotides) under Oedipina nica (Nicaraguan worm lizard). RNAcentral's name for it is "tRNA-Ile". Lineage: Eukaryota; Metazoa; Chordata; Amphibia; Caudata; Plethodontidae. The record is from RNAcentral.
GACGUGUGUCUGAAAGAUAAGACUUACCUUGAUAGGGUAACAUAUAGGAGUUCGAACCCCCUCAC